UGGGGAAUAUUGGACAAUGGGGGCAACCCUGAUCCAGCCAUGCCGCGUGUGUGAAGAAGGCCUUUUGGUUGUAAAGCACUUUAAGCAGGGAGGAGAGGCUAAUGGUUAAUACCCAUUAGAUUAGACGUUACCUGCAGAAUAAGCACCGGCUAACCCUGUGCCAGCAGCCGCGGUAAUACAGAGGGUGCGAGCGUUAAUCGGAAUUACUGGGCGUAAAGCGAGUGUAGGUGGCUCAUUAAGUCACAUGUGAAAUCCCCGGGCUUAACCUGGGAACUGCAUGUGAUACUGGUGGUGCUAGAAUAUGUGAGAGGGAAGUAGAAUUCCAGGUGUAGCGGUGAAAUGCGUAGAGAUCUGGAGGAAUACCGAUGGCGAAGGCAGCUUCCUGGCAUAAUAUUGACACUGAGAUUCGAAAGCGUGGGUAGCAAAACAGGAUUAGAUACCCUGGUAGUCCACGCCGUAAACGAUGUCUACUAGCCGUUGGGGUCCUUGAGACUUUAGUGGCGCAGUUAACGCGAUAAGUAGACCGCCU
Molecule: ribosomal RNA, 529 nt
Filed under: uncultured bacterium
Lineage: Bacteria
Description: partial 16S ribosomal RNA
Rfam family: Bacterial small subunit ribosomal RNA
Source: RNAcentral